This 445-nucleotide ribosomal RNA is filed under the name uncultured bacterium. RNAcentral describes it as "partial 16S ribosomal RNA". It matches the Rfam family "Bacterial small subunit ribosomal RNA", at positions 354 to 796 of the family's 1533-position model. The record is from RNAcentral.
GUGAGGAAUAUUGCGCAAUGGAGGCAACUCUGACGCAGCCAUGCCGCGUGCAGGAAGAAGGCGCUACGCGUUGUAAACUGCUUUUAACCGGGAAGAAACCCCAGGACGUGUCCUGGGUUGACGGUACCGGAGGAAUAAGCACCGGCUAACUUCGUGCCAGCAGCCGCGGUAAUACGAAGGGUGCAAGCGUUAUCCGGAUUCAUUGGGUUUAAAGGGUGCGUAGGCGGAGCGUUAAGUCAGUGGUGAACUCCUGCAGCUUAACUGUAGACUUGCCAUUGAUACUGGCGCUCUUGAGUGCGCUUGAAGUGGGCGGAAUGUGCCGUGUAGCGGUGAAAUGCUUAGAUAUGGCACAGAACACCAAUUGCGAAGGCAGCUCACUAAGGCGAUACUGACGCUGAGGCACGAAAGCGUGGGGAUCGAACAGGAUUAGAUACCCCGGUAGUCC